RNAcentral lists this ribosomal RNA (506 nucleotides) under uncultured bacterium. Its description in RNAcentral is "partial 16S ribosomal RNA". It matches the Rfam family "Bacterial small subunit ribosomal RNA", at positions 30 to 523 of the family's 1533-position model. The record is from RNAcentral.
AUUGAACGCUAACGGCAUGCUUAACACAUGCAAGUCGAACGGCAGCACAGCAGUAGCAAUACUGUGGGUGGCGAGUGGCGGACGGGUGAGUAAUGUAUAGGAAUCUGCCUUGUAGUGGGGGAUAACCUGGGGAAACUCGGGCUAAUACCGCAUAAUCUUUACGAAGCAAAGCGGGGGAUCGUAAGACCUUGCGCAAUAAGCUGAGCCUAUAUUGGAUUAGCUAGUUGGUGGGGUAAAGGCCUACCAAGGCGACGAUCCAUAGCUGGUCUGAGAGGAUGAUCAGCCACACUGGGACUGAGACACGGCCCAGACUCCUACGGGAGGCAGCAGUGGGGAAUAUUGGACAAUGGGGGAAACCCUGAUCCAGCAAUGCCGUGUGUGUGAAGAAGGCCUUCGGGUUGUAAAGCACUUUUAGUGGGAAAGAAAAGCUCAAAGCUAAUAACUUUGAGACUUGACGUUACCCACAGAAAAAGCACUGGCUAACUCUGUGCCAGCAGCCGCAGUAA